RNAcentral lists this microRNA precursor (158 nucleotides) under Podarcis lilfordi (Lilford's wall lizard). Lineage: Eukaryota; Metazoa; Chordata; Lepidosauria; Squamata; Lacertidae. The record is from RNAcentral.
CCGCUGAGUGGGGAGGAGAGAGGGACAGAGAGCCUGCUUCUUUAAAGGAGCAAAGUGGGAGAGUAGAGGAGCCGCUUACACGAGUGUAAGCGGCUCCUGUCCGGUUGGUUCCUUUACAGCAAGCAGGCUCUCUGUCCCUCUCUCCUCCCCACUCAGCU